CCUGUCCCAAACUCCUCCGUCCUAUAUAUGACAUCCUUCCCUAUGAUAUUCCCCGCCCUAUAAAUGUUCAAUGUUUGUUGAUGUUAAGGUGUAACAAUAAAAGUCUUACUAUUUUGCCUGUUUUCAAAAUUAAAUUGAGACUGUUAUCUCAACUGCACCGAUCAAUCAAUCUCCUACGUGUGUUCUCCACUCUACGUGACAUUGGCGGAAUCAACCGUGCUUCUCUGGCACAACUGAAAGCCAUUAAACCAAUCAAUCAAUCAAUGAUAU
RNAcentral lists this unclassified non-coding RNA (270 nucleotides) under Melitaea cinxia (Glanville fritillary). Its description in RNAcentral is "misc RNA ENSMCXG00005003069.1". Lineage: Eukaryota; Metazoa; Arthropoda; Insecta; Lepidoptera; Nymphalidae. The record is from RNAcentral.